Molecule: ribosomal RNA, 254 nt
Filed under: uncultured bacterium
Lineage: Bacteria
Description: partial 16S ribosomal RNA
Rfam family: Bacterial small subunit ribosomal RNA
Source: RNAcentral
UACGUAGGGUGCAAGCGUUGUCCGGAAUUAUUGGGCGUAAAGAGCUCGUAGGCGGUGUGUCACGUCGAUCGUGAAAACUUACAGCUUAACUGUGAGCGUGCGGUCGAUACGGGCAUCACUGGAGUUCGGCAGGGGAGACUGGAAUUCCUGGUGUAGCGGUGAAAUGCGCAGAUAUCAGGAGGAACACCGGUGGCGAAGGCGGGUCUCUGGGCCGAUACUGACGCUGAGGAGCGAAAGCGUGGGGAGCGAACAGG